This 604-nucleotide ribosomal RNA is filed under the name uncultured eukaryote. RNAcentral describes it as "SSU rRNA". It matches the Rfam family "Eukaryotic small subunit ribosomal RNA", at positions 608 to 1217 of the family's 1831-position model. The record is from RNAcentral.
AGUUGUUGCGGUUAAAAAGCUCGUAGUUGGAUUUCUGUUGAGGACGGCCGGUCCGCACUAUGUGCGUGUAUCUGGUUCGGCCUUGGCAUCCUCUUGAGGAACGUUCCUGCGCUUGAUUGCGUGGGGCGGUAUUCAAGACUUUUACUUUGAGGAAAUUAAAAUGUUCACGGCAGGCAAGCGCCUUGAAUACAUUAGCAUGGAAUAAUAAUAUAGGAUCUUGGUUCUAUUUGUUGGUUUCUAGGGCUAAGGUAAUGAUUAAUAGGGAUAAUUGGGGGCAUUUGUAUUAACGCGUCAGAGGUGGAAUUCUUGGAUUGCGUUACGACAAACUACUGCGAAAGCAUUUGCCAAGGAUGUUUUCAUUGAUCAAGAACGAAAGUAUGGGGAUCGAAGAUGAUUAGAUACCGUCGUAGUCUAUACCAUAAACUAUGCCGACUAGGGAUUGGAGGUCGUUCUUUUUAUGACUCCUUCAGCACCUUAUGAGAAAUCAAAGUCUUUGGGUUCCGGGGGGAGUAUAGUCGCAAGGCUGAAACUUAAAGGAAUUGACGGAAGGGCACCACCAGGAGUGGAGCCUGCGGCUUAAUUUGACUCAACACGGGGAAACUCA